UUUUUGUUCGUGAAACAUACCAAAGAGACAAAAAAAGACGACACAUGUCGAAGAACCCGAGGACAUUGAUGAUCUGGAGGACAUCGAUGAAGGAGAAGAAAGCAAUUUCUCGGAAUGCGACUCCGAGGAGGAGCAGAACUUUUUAGCUGGGAAGGACCCUGAUUUUGAGCUCGAUGAAGACUGGGCCCCGCCAAGCAAAAAAAACAAGAGCUGAGGAUCCUGUGUCUGAGGAAGAGGAGCCGGUGGCCGAGACCAGUGGGACAAGAAGAGGAAAGGGUGCUGCAAGAAGCAGGGAGAGAGGCAGAGGAAGAGGGAGAGGCCAAGGCAGGGGAAGAGGGUGCUCCCACAGCAGACAGGAGAGCGGAGACGCAGAACCAUGGCUUAGGACGGACAUCCAGGACACCAUACCACCACAGCCCACGUUUCGCCCUAUGAGGACUCCUGGCCCCCAGCGUAUCUCUGCACAGUACACAAUAUUAGAACUAUUUUUACCUUUGUUUCAUUUUAUAAUACAAAUGUUCACUGCA
This is a long non-coding RNA of Alosa sapidissima (American shad), 527 nucleotides long. RefSeq lists it as uncharacterized. Lineage: Eukaryota; Metazoa; Chordata; Actinopteri; Clupeiformes; Clupeidae. The record is from RefSeq and is a predicted model, not a curated record. The transcript has 2 exons.